Molecule: ribosomal RNA, 637 nt
Filed under: Bacillus sp. 7UB
Lineage: Bacteria; Bacillati; Bacillota; Bacilli; Caryophanales; Bacillaceae
Description: bacterial SSU rRNA
Rfam family: Bacterial small subunit ribosomal RNA
Source: RNAcentral
CGGCGGACGGGUGAGUAACACGUGGGUAACCUGCCUGUAAGACUGGGAUAACUCCGGGAAACCGGGGCUAAUACCGGAUGGUUGUUUGAACCGCAUGGUUCAAACAUAAAAGGUGGCUUCGGCUACCACUUACAGAUGGACCCGCGGCGCAUUAGCUAGUUGGUGAGGUAACGGCUCACCAAGGCAACGAUGCGUAGCCGACCUGAGAGGGUGAUCGGCCACACUGGGACUGAGACACGGCCCAGACUCCUACGGGAGGCAGCAGUAGGGAAUCUUCCGCAAUGGACGAAAGUCUGACGGAGCAACGCCGCGUGAGUGAUGAAGGUUUUCGGAUCGUAAAGCUCUGUUGUUAGGGAAGAACAAGUACCGUUCGAAUAGGGCGGUACCUUGACGGUACCUAACCAGAAAGCCACGGCUAACUACGUGCCAGCAGCCGCGGUAAUACGUAGGUGGCAAGCGUUGUCCGGAAUUAUUGGGCGUAAAGGGCUCGCAGGCGGUUUCUUAAGUCUGAUGUGAAAGCCCCCGGCUCAACCGGGGAGGGUCAUUGGAAACUGGGGAACUUGAGUGCAGAAGAGGAGAGUGGAAUUCCACGUGUAGCGGUGAAAUGCGUAGAGAUGUGGAGGAACACCAGUGGCGA